ACACUAUGAGGGGAAUAUGAUGUUUUACAAAUAUAUAGUUACUUUACUGUAAGUGAUGAUAAUAAAUGCAGUGACUGUGAUUAAUUUUUCAUAACUUCUUUAUGGUUAAUAUCUAGGAAUGAAAAAACAAACAUGUCCUGUAAUUGCUUAAAAAGCAAUACAACGGGAACAAUGAUGCAUUUAGGCUAAUAACAUUGCCGUGAGGGGCCCAUUUAAAAAACCCACAAGCUACUACAUGGCCAUUCUCUUCCACAGAGGUUACUGGUCAUAUCUUCCUACCAACCUCUGUUCUAAUACGGCCAUAUUUCCCGGUUCUCAUAAAAUCCCCUAGCGGCAAAAAAAUCGCAACACAACUUAUCUCCCUUCUUUCUAUCCAAUCAGAACAUGUGUUACAUGGACUUUGAUCCAACUUGACUAAUGCAAGCAAAUAUGGGGCCACAAAUAUCUCUCUCCUGUCGGGGACACGAGUUGAUGUGACACACAAGAUAUUUAAUGGCUGGCUUGUCCGUUGUCAACGAGGGCGAUGGAGACACCAUUGAUCUGCCGUUACAUGACUGAGUUCUGUCCAGAAGAAAUGUUUGAGCAUCACUCAGUCGAAGAGGUUCUAGGUUUAUUACCGAGGCCUUGCGAAUGAUCACUUGUGAAACACCGUCGCUGAUUGCACAACUAAAUCUGAUUGCAACCAAUCAUGAAUCCUAAACCCUCGCACCAUGAAAGGGCCGUAUUUGAACAGAGGUUCGUAGGAAGAUAUGACAAGUAACCUCUGUGGGAAGAGAAUGCUAUGUGGCAUGGAUAUGUUCCAUUUUGCAUAUCUCACUUAGAUAAACAACAAACUAGUUCCAAGUUAAAACAAUCUCUUAAACAUAUUUGUAAGUAAUCAAUUCCAGUGAGCAGUGAUCAAAUUAAAGGCCUGCCCGCCUGCCCGAGACUGGCAACUUUUGUGAUGUCCUGCCUGAAAAAAUCUCCACCAUCCCAAUUGUCUGGCUGAUAUUUUUGAAUGCCUCCCUUUUGGAAGCUUCGUAUGAAUGACAUGCGAGAAGAUAUAUUUGAGGUUGGUAUCAAAUGUUUCAGAAAAUAUGUCAUUUUGAUGAUGUAAACCGAUAAGUGGAAUUGCAAGUUUAACAGGCUCUUUACUAAUGUCACAGCCUGGGGAUGUGGCUGAGUGUUUCAUUUCAUGCUUGUUGUUUUUAAUUUGCUGAAUUAAUUCACAUUUGAAACAAUGAUACUUGUUUGUUUUUGUAAAUAAAAUGCAAUUUAUGAGUCAAAACUGCGGGCAGGCAACUUUCAAGACGGGCAGGCAACUUUCAAGACGGACAGGCAACAUUUAUUGGUCACCUGCUCGACUGUCUGGUUGAGUUUGACAAUUAUUUCAAUCACUGCCAGUGAGCAUGAAAAAUGAAUUAAUUGAUGAAGGGAUACAGUUUGAUACGAGAGUGAAUCGAUAGUGAAUCGUAACAGGACAGGUGGUCUAAACUUAAACUUUCAGUCUGAAAUGAAGUGGGAAUGGAUGGGGUGUUUGUUUAUGUACGACAUGAAGCCAUGCAUUCAUGUACUUUACAUUUAACUUUAUUAAUUAGAAACUUGAUCUGUCUUUGAAAUCUGGAUUAUGUGAAUUAAUUUAUGUUACCAUGGUUACAGUAAAUUCUGUUACAAAAA
Long non-coding RNA from Haliotis rubra (blacklip abalone), 1656 nucleotides. RefSeq lists it as uncharacterized. The record is from RefSeq and is a predicted model, not a curated record. Lineage: Eukaryota; Metazoa; Mollusca; Gastropoda; Lepetellida; Haliotidae. The transcript is spliced from 2 exons.